GACGAACGCUGGCGGCGUGCUUAACACAUGCAAGUCGAACGGAAAGGCCCUGCUUUUGUGGGGUGCUCGAGUGGCGAACGGGUGAGUAACACGUGAGUAACCUGCCCUUGACUUUGGGAUAACUUCAGGAAACUGGGGCUAAUACCGGAUAGGAGCUCCUGCUGCAUGGUGGGGGUUGGAAAGUUUCGGCGGUUGGGGAUGGACUCGCGGCUUAUCAGCUUGUUGGUGGGGUAGUGGCUUACCAAGGCUUUGACGGGUAGCCGGCCUGGGAGGGUGACCGGCCACAUUGGGACUGAGAGACGGACCAGAAGCCUACGGGAGGCAGCAGUGGAGAAUAUUGCACAAUGGGCGGAAGCCUGAUGCAGCAACGCCGCGAGCGUGAUGACGGCCUUCGGGUUGUAAACCGCUUUCGCCUGUGACGAAGCGUGAGUGACGGUAAUGGGUAAAGAAGCACCGGCUAACUACGUG
RNAcentral lists this ribosomal RNA (468 nucleotides) under uncultured bacterium. RNAcentral describes it as "partial 16S ribosomal RNA". It matches the Rfam family "Bacterial small subunit ribosomal RNA", at positions 28 to 507 of the family's 1533-position model. The record is from RNAcentral.